RNAcentral lists this ribosomal RNA (428 nucleotides) under uncultured bacterium. Its description in RNAcentral is "bacterial SSU rRNA". It matches the Rfam family "Bacterial small subunit ribosomal RNA", at positions 29 to 436 of the family's 1533-position model. The record is from RNAcentral.
AAUGAACGCUGGCGGCGUGCUUAACACAUGCAAGUCGCACGAGAACGCUUCAGCUUGCUGAAGUAAGUAAAGUGGCGAACGGGUGAGUAACGCGUGGGUAAUCUACCCCCGAAUUGGGGAUAACAUCGCGAAAGUGAUGCUAAUACCGAAUGACAUCCUGAAAAUUUAUGUUUUCAGGAUCAAAGGUGGCCUCUACAUGUAAGCUAUUGUUUGGGGAUGAGCCCGCGUACCAUUAGCUUGUUGGUAGGGUAACGGCCUACCAAGGCAACGAUGGUUAGCUGGUCUGAGAGGAUGAUCAGCCACACUGGAACUGACACACGGUCCAGACUCCUACGGGAGGCAGCAGUGAGGAAUUUUGCGCAAUGGGGGAAACCCUGACGCAGCAACGCCGCGUGAGUGAUGAAGGCUUUCGGGUCGUAAAGCUCUGU